Molecule: long non-coding RNA, 4039 nt
Organism: Salvelinus fontinalis (brook trout)
Lineage: Eukaryota; Metazoa; Chordata; Actinopteri; Salmoniformes; Salmonidae
Exons: 2
Source: RefSeq, a predicted model, not a curated record
UGUUCAGCAGUCUUAUAGCUUGGGGGUAGAAGCUGUUAUGGAGCCUUUUAGCCCUAACAGCUUAUAAACUUGAAUUCAGUAUAAGACCGUAAUUGUCAAAUUUGGUAUCAAUAUUCAUAAGGCCUGUAUGAAAUUAAAUUAUUUGUUUUCUUUUAAACAAAUAUAUGGGGAUGAAUAUUGAACAAAGUGAAAGAUGUAUCCAUUAAAUGUUAAUCAAUCAUCUAGGUCUGUUCAUGAUUUAGUGCAGUUAGUUGCUGCAUGUUAUUAGUGCUACAACAAAUAGGGAUUGCUAUGCCACGCUACGCGGAGGCCUCCAGAGACCACAGGAUGGAGUCAAACAAGGUCAACGCCAGAUAUACUUCCUGUUUGGGGCCCGCUAUUUUUGCAACCAGGACAUUAUCCUAGGAUCGAGCCGAUUUACAUGAUGAAUAAUUUCUGUCGUUGUCAAUAUAGGGAACAGAAGUAGGCUACUGUACUAUACAAAAGUGUACUUUCUUUAGUCUAGACAUAUAGUGUUUAGGUACCAUACUAGGCUCAAUAUGAUAUAUAGUGUAUCUAUGCUGGAGGAUUUUACAACUCUCCUAUACUCGGCUGAAUAUGAUAUAUAGUGUAUCUAUGGUGGAGGAUUUUACAACUCUCCUAUACUAGGCUGAAUAUGAUAUAUAGUGUAUCUAUGCUGGAGGAUUUUACAACUCUCCAAAACUCGGCUGAAUAGGAUAUAUAGUGUAUCGAUGCUGGAGGAUUUUACAACUCACCUGUACUAGGCUCAAUAUGAUAUAUAGUGUAUCUAUGCUGGAGGAUUUUACAACUCUCCUAUACUCGGCUGAAUAUGAUAUAUAGUAUAUCUAUGCUGGAGGAUUUUACAACUCUCCUAUACUAGGCUCAAUAUGAUAUAUAGUGUAUCUAUGGUGGAGGAUUUUACAACUCUCCUAUACUAGGCUCAAUAUGAUAUAUAGUGUAUCUAUGGUGGAGGAUUUUACAACUCACCUGUACUAGGCUUAAUAUGAUAUAUAGUGUAUCUAUGGUGGAGGAUUUUACAACUCACCUGUACUAGGCUCAAUAGGAUAUAUAGUGUAUCUAUGCUGGAGGAUUUUACAACUCACCUGUACUAGGCUCAAUAGAGAAUUGAAGUGAGAAGAAAAGAUGUGGAGCCUGAGUCUGGCAGAAAGGGUAGGCUGGAGAGUUGGAACAUGAACACGAGGAAGACACUGAACGUUGACUACUUGGCUAUGGGAAUGGAGAGGCACACCACGUCCAUAGUACUGUACAGAACAAUAUGGUGGAAUGUUUGUUGCUGUUGCUGAGGUUGGUUAUGUACAUGCAUACUUAAGAUUGGAAGUAAAUGCUGAUUGACCCAAACAGUACACUGGCUUAAUAAUGCUGACUGAUUUAAAGCAAAACAUAUUUUGAAAGCAGUAUUGUCAGAUCAACUCUGUCAUACACUGUUUGUCUACUGUUGAAUUGAUCAACUGAUCUCUUCUAAAUCCAUGUUAAAUAUAUGUGAAUACUAAAUGAGUGACAUGCUUUUUUCACCAUUGAUUUCAUGCUUGAAAACAUUGUUCACAAUUGAUUGGAUAUGUAUUGAAACAGACACUAAAUAACGUAUUGUUCUAAACAAAAUGGGCUCAAAACAUUAACAGAGGCAGAUGCUUGCAAACGGGCGAACUCAACGUGAUAAUAGCCACUUCCUUUUCAAUCAUUACCAUACUGAAGUGGCAGGCGAACAAAGUGUUUCUAAUUGUAAAGCGGAAAAAACUGUUUACAUUAAUUAGGCAGAAGAUCAUUGUAAAUUCCUGGCAAAUGGAGAGAGAGAGGGACAAUAAACAGGAUGUGUUACAAAUAGUCUUAACGGAUGGAGCACACACACAGGAUCAGUCUAUUACUGCAUUAGCUCUACCCCUCUCUCUGGACAUUUCUCAGAAUUGAAAACUUGAGCACAGGAUCUAGCUGAUGUUGCGAUGGUGUAAGUCUGGUUCGAUGCCAUAGUAGUUAUGGUAUUGUUACAUGCACAUCUUUGUUUUUUUACAUGGCAGACUCCCAAUGCUUCAGUGCCAAUAUUCCCCUCCCCCUCCCCUGUCAGUGGCGAGCAUCGCCAUUCUCCCUCCACUACAUCAACUGCUUUUUGGUUCAUUGAGAUUCAGCCUGGCACACAGACAAUGCCCAUUUCUUGGCACAGGAUAUUGAAGGGAGAAGCGUACAAGAUUCUACCCCAGUCUUUUCCCUCUCGGUCGUGCCCAGUGUUUUACCGAUCCCCGUGGACCAUCGCCAACUCAUGUUAGAUAUUUUUCGUAUUGUGCUCGUGGCAAAAUACUAAUCGCGAGUGAUUCGUAAUCCAGCUAAUCCACAGUAUGGAACAUUAGAACCAAGUUUGUUAUUGCGACGGUUGUUUUACUCUGUCCGGGCAUCUUUCUAUAAGGUGAAACACAGAAACAGCAUUUUCUGAUGAUGUCUUUGUCAGAAAAAGUGUACAGGAGAGAUGACAGGAAGACAGCUCCUCUCUCUUACUUACCACGGCAGCCAUUUUCUUUUGUCCAAUGAAGUCAGUGAGUGAGAAGCCUGGGAUUUGAACAGUUGAUUAUAAGGAUCCAGCUUUUUGCUGACUUAAACUUUUUAAUGUUUAUUCCCAGUAGAAGUCCUGACCUCCUCUCCGGGUUGAUGAUAAAUUGAGCACCUGUCCUUGAGACUGAGGUAGUAGAUUGAAUAGUUGCGGGGUAUAUUUCCUCCCUCUGACAUAACUAUACAAUCUACUGUCUUUCCUAAGGAGACAGACCAAUCGUCAAUACCCCUGAAGCCAGACCAUUUUCCCCUGGCUGUCCCAUCCAUCUCCCCAGCCUGGACACCUGCCUGCAGCCUGUCUGUGUUCUGUGGGGAAGUUAACAAUUAGCAUAUCACAUCCAUUCACUGAAUGUUCCAGGAUAACAUGAGGAUGUGCAACAUUUCCUCUGUUAGACCACCCAAUUCUUUAUUUGGUUUACAACGAUUGGGGCCUAUUGUGAUAUGGCCCUAUUGUGUUUGAGUGAAAGUGUGCUUUAGGGUGAGUGUGUUGUUGUCGCCUCUCGCUGUGUGUGUUUGAAUGACAUUCCCCUCUCAUCCGUCAGUCUUUAGGGUGAGUGUGUUCUGGCGAGGUGAGGUAGUAGGUUGUAUAGUUUUUGAAGGGAUAGAAUCCUAUUCAGGUGAUAACUAUACAGUCUAUUGCCUUCCUUGAGAGGCACAAUGACCGUCUGCAGCGACGAGAAACUCUACAGAAAACUGCUUGUUGAAUUCCUCUGUGCAUCGGAUGCAAUCUUACUGUGGUAAAGCAACAGAGGGAGCAAUGGUGUGUUUAUUAUAGUUUGCUAGCGUCACCUAGUGGCCAAGGAGCAGCAGGACUCCAGAGACAUUCGACCUGAAGGUUCCCGUAGGCAGGGGUGAAAAGACAAUUGAAAUAUCUUACUCAAGUAGGAGUACUGUUACUUUAAGCAAUGCAAAAUAAAGUGCAUAAAGAAUAAAGUUGGCAGACUUCAAUAUACUUCAUAUUCCAGAAAUAAACAUGUCUCAUUCUUUCACCCUUUCAAUCCAUCAUUCACCCAUCUGUUACAUCUUACUUAUCCAUGGGACCGGCUGAUAUUCACUCACUCACCCAUUCACACUCUUUCCCUCGCCCACUCACUUACUCCCACUCACAAAAUAUAUUUUCCCUCACACACCAGGGGUGGAAAGAGUACUGGAAUAUAUUACUCAAGUAGAAGUACUGUUACUUUAAUGAAAAUACAACAACAACAAAAAGUACUCAGAAAAGAUACUAAAUUACAGUAACGAGAGUAGUUGUAAUGAGUUACUUUACACCUCUGCUCAUAGGUUCACGACUCAGAGCAGGAAGUAAAGAAUAUGAAAUUACCUUAAUAGAGAAUGCAUGAGUUUGACAUAAUCUAAACUAUAAGGGUUGGUUCUCGAGACCUAAAUCAAGCCCUGAAUAAGUUUUUUCAGUCUUGUAGUACUGUUACAAGUCAACAUUAUUCAAGGUUUUAUGAACGAAUAAAGGUUAAAUAAAGCUAUGAAA